Long non-coding RNA from Hypanus sabinus (Atlantic stingray), 258 nucleotides. RefSeq lists it as uncharacterized. The record is from RefSeq and is a predicted model, not a curated record. Lineage: Eukaryota; Metazoa; Chordata; Chondrichthyes; Myliobatiformes; Dasyatidae. The transcript is spliced from 3 exons.
GGAUGUCCAUUUUGGAAUGUGUGUAAUGGACUGCCGGCGACAGUGGUGGAGGAGGAUACGAUGGGAUCUUUUAAGAGACUCCUGGACAGAUGCACGCUUUAUUUUAACUUGAAUGUCUUGCUGCACUUCAAAAGCAAAUUAGAGUGUUGCUUUGAAUCCUUUUAUAUCGGAAGUGAAACACAUACAAGAGCUAACAGAGAUCCAUCCAGUGGGUAGUCACUGAACUGAAUUACAAUCCUAAAGCAACCCAUGCUCACU